UUUGCUUUCUUCACUCAGUCACUAAACCCACUAACACACUCUCUACUACUCCCGUUCUCUUCCAUUUUCACAUAAGCCACUACCAUCAACAGUAAUUACUACCCACUACCAUCAGCCACAAUAAUAAUCCUUACCCAUUGCUAUCAUCCUCUCUUUCUCUUCCCUUUUCACAGAACCCACUGCCAUCAACAAUAAUCCCUACCCACUGCCAUCAGCCUCUCUUUCUCUUUCCUUUUCACAGAACCCACGUCUACUGCUAAUUUAUUUGAGAAUUCCCUUUUCAGCUUCAGAGUCCCGUCGUUCUUUCUGCCUUCAUCGUGCAUCGCAUCUUUCCGUCGUCCUCAACGCCGUCUCCCCCUUCAUCGCUACACUUCAAGAAUUUCAAUGGAGCCCCAGCCUCAGGAAGCAUCAAAUAGUCAAAGACACACAUAAUUGGCACCGUCCACAAUCAUAGUUCAUGAAUCAACAAAAGCACCAUCCUACAAGUUCAGCAAAAAGUAAAAAAUGAAUCUAAUAAAAGCCAAAUUUGAUUAACUUAAAAGUUAAAAUCACGAUUUACACAUAAUGUUCUUACAUCCUUCACUAUAAUCUUGUCUGAAAGUCCAAUUCUUGGUAAUAGCCAUUCCAACACAUACAAUGAGGAGUUUUUCAUAAUUGCUUGUAACAGGUUGAUCAUCUGAAAAGCAAGAAUAUGCUAAAGUCAUGGCUGAUGGAUAAAAAAAUUAGUUAUUAACAAUGGGAAUGGAGCCCAAACCUAAAUUGCAUAGAAAUAUUCUGUGUAACAAAGGACUUCAAGAAGGUAAGGGGCGCCAUAAAAUUAGACAUAUUAAUAGUGAUGACUGUAACAAAAAAAAGGUACAGUUUUUAAUAAACAACAUGUGAAUAUGUGAUUGAGGAGCAAUAAGCACCACGAUAAGUGCAAUUGAGCAUGCAGCA
Molecule: non-coding RNA, 936 nt
Organism: Arachis ipaensis
Lineage: Eukaryota; Viridiplantae; Streptophyta; Magnoliopsida; Fabales; Fabaceae
Source: RefSeq, a predicted model, not a curated record